AAGGUGAAAGGUUAAACGAGAUUGAAUUUUAUAUCCUAGACUGUAAUACCCAGCAUGGAUAUUAAAGCACAAAAAAAAAGAAUGAAGAAGACUCCCAUAGGGAGUCUUCUCCUUCCUCCCGAUUGGCUCCUAAUCAGAGUCGAAAUCCAUCUUGGGAAAGAGUGAAACUUCUCUCCACCAGUCCUAUUUAAAGGGAAGAAGUCUUCCCUCUUCCCCCACCAA
This 222-nucleotide long non-coding RNA is filed under the name Elaeis guineensis (African oil palm). Its description in RNAcentral is "long non-coding RNA (EGUI_LNC063452)". The record is from RNAcentral. Lineage: Eukaryota; Viridiplantae; Streptophyta; Magnoliopsida; Arecales; Arecaceae.